UACAGAGGUCCCAAGCGUUGUUCGGAUUCAUUGGGCGUAAAGGGCUCGUAGGCGGCCAACUAAGUCGGACGUGAAAUCCCUCAGCUUAACUGGGGAACUGCGUCCGAUACUGGAUGGCUUGGAUUUGGGAGAGGGAUGCGGAAUUCCAGGUGUAGCGGUGAAAUGCGUAGAUAUCUGGAGGAACACCGGUGGCGAAGGCGGCAUCCUGGACCAAUAUUGACGCUGAGGAGCGAAAGCCAGGGGAGCAAACGGG
RNAcentral lists this ribosomal RNA (253 nucleotides) under uncultured bacterium. RNAcentral describes it as "partial 16S ribosomal RNA". It matches the Rfam family "Bacterial small subunit ribosomal RNA", at positions 524 to 776 of the family's 1533-position model. The record is from RNAcentral.